UGCAGCGACGCCGCGUGAGGGAUGACGGCCUAUCGGGUUGUAAACCUCUUUCAGUAGGGAAGAAGCGUAAGUGACGGUACCUGCAGAAGAAGCGCCGGCUAACUACGUGCCAGCAGCCGCGGUAAUACGUAGGGCGCAAGCGUUAUCCGGAAUUAUUGGGCGUAAAGAGCUCGUAGGCGGUUUGUCGCGUCUGCCGUGAAAGUCCGGGGCUCAACUCCGGAUCUGCGGUGGGUACGGGCAGACUAGAGUGAUGUAGGGGAGACUGGAAUUCCUGGUGUAGCGGUGAAAUGCGCAGAUAUCAGGAGGAACACCGAUGGCGAAGGCAGGUCUCUGGGCAUUAACUGACGCUGAGGAGCGAAAGCAUGGGGAGCGAACAGGAAUAGAUACCCUGGUAGUCCAUGCCGUAAACGUUGGGCACUAGGUGUGGGGGACAUUCCACGUUUUCCGCGCCGUAGCUAACGCAUUAAAGUGCCCCGCCUGGGGAGUACGGCCGCCAGGCUAAAACUCAAAAGAAUUGACGGGGGGGCCGCACAAACGGCGGGAGCACGCGGAAUAAUUCUUAUGCUACGCGAAAAAAACUUACCAAAGGCUUGACAUGAACCGGAAAAACCUGGAAACAGGUGCCCC
Molecule: ribosomal RNA, 627 nt
Filed under: Micrococcaceae bacterium So1Pw_980
Lineage: Bacteria; Bacillati; Actinomycetota; Actinomycetes; Micrococcales; Micrococcaceae
Description: bacterial SSU rRNA
Rfam family: Bacterial small subunit ribosomal RNA
Source: RNAcentral